UACGUAGGUGGCAAGCGUUGUCCGGAUUUACUGGGCGUAAAGAGCGCGCAGGCGGUCGGAUAAGUCGAAUGUGAAAGCCCCCGGCUUAACUGGGGAGGGUCAUUCGAUACUGUUCGACUCGAAGGCAGGAGAGGGAAGCGGAAUUCCCGGUGUAGUGGUGAAAUGCGUAGAUAUCGGGAGGAACACCAGUGGCGAAGGCGGCUUCCUGGCCUGUUCUUGACGCUGAGGCGCGAAAGCUAGGGGAGCAAACGGG
This 253-nucleotide ribosomal RNA is filed under the name uncultured bacterium. RNAcentral's name for it is "partial 16S ribosomal RNA". It matches the Rfam family "Bacterial small subunit ribosomal RNA", at positions 524 to 776 of the family's 1533-position model. The record is from RNAcentral.